UCAAGCGCGAUAAGGGCGUUUGGUGAAUGCCUUGGCAGCAAGAGGCGAUGAAGGACGUGAUACUCUGCGAUAAGUCAUGGGGAGCUGAGAAUAGGCUUUGAUCCAUGAAUUUCCGAAUGGGGCAACCCACCUGAUACUUUGUUAUUGUUACCCUUCGGGGUGGUCAAUAAUGAGGUAAACCAGGUAUUUAUAGACUGAAUACAUAGGUUUAUAAAGGCAAACCCGGGGAACUGAAACAUCUAAGUACCCGGAGGAAAGGAAAUCAACAGAUACUCCCCUAGUAGCGGCGAGCGAACGGGGACCAGCCGAGCCUUGAGAGUGACUGGAACUGGAUGGAAAGCCAGGCCAUAGCGGGUGACAGCCCCGUACAGGAAGCUCGAUAGGACGUAUUAAGUAGGGCGGGACACGUGAAAUCCUGUCUGAACAUGGGGGGACCACCCUCUAAGGCUAAGUACUCCUUGCUGACCGAUAGUGAACCAGUACCGUGAGGGAAAGGUGAAAAGCACCCCGACGAGGGGAGUGAAACAGUACCUGAAACCGAACGCCUACAAUCAGUCGGAGGGGCAUAAGCCCUGACGGCGUACCUUUUGUAUAAUGGGUCAUCGACUUGGUCUAUCUAGCAAGCUUAAGCCGUUAGGUGUAGGCGCAGCGAAAGCGAGUCUUAAUAGGGCGAAUGAGUUAGAUGGAUCAGACCCGAAACCGAGUGAUCUAGGCAUGACCAGGAUGAAGGUAAGGUAACACUUACUGGAGGUCCGAACCCACACCUGUUGAAAAAGGUCGGGAUGAGUUGUGCCUAGGGGUGAAAGGCCAAUCAAACUCGGAGAUAGCUGGUUCUCUGCGAAAUCUAUUUAGGUAGAGCGUCAUCCGAAUACCCUCGGGGGUAGAGCACUGGAUGGGUAAUGGGGCCCCACAGGCUUACUGAUCCUAACCAAACUCCGAAUACCGAGGAGUACUAGAUGGCAGACAGACGGCGGAUGCUAACGUCCGUCGUCGAGAGGGAAACAACCCUGACCUCCGGCUAAGGCCCCCAAUUCAUGGCUAAGUGGGAAAGCAGGUGGGACGACCAAAACAACCAGGAGGUUGGCUUAGAAGCAGCCAUCCUUUAAAGAUAGCGUAACAGCUCACUGGUCUAAAUAAGUUGUCCUGCGGCGAAGAUGUAACGGGGCUCAAGCCAUGAGCCGAAGCCGAGGAUGCCGUAAGGCAUGGUAGCAGAGCGUAGUGUGACAUGGUUUCUAUCCUCUUUAGUGUCCUUCGGGACACCAUGGAGGAGAAGAAAUCUUCGAUGAAGCGGGCCUGUGAGGGAUCCCGUGGAGAGAUCACUAGUGAGAAUGAUGACAUGAGUAGCGACAAAGAGUGUGAGAGACACUCUCGCCGAAAGUCCAAGGGUUCCUGCUUAAAGCUAAUCUGAGCAGGGUAAGCCGACCCCUAAGGCGAGGCCGAAAGGCGUAGUCGAUGGGAACCAGGUUAAUAUUCCUGGGCCAGAUGGAAGUGACGGAUCUCGAGGGUAGUUCAUCCUUAUCGGAUUGAAUGGGCUGCUUAGAGGUCCCUGGAAAUAGCUCCAUCGCUAGAUCGUACCCUAAACCGACACAGGUGGAUAGGUAGAGAAUACCAAGGCGCUUGAGAGAACUAUGUUGAAGGAACUCGGCAAAAUACCUCCGUAAGUUCGCGAGAAGGAGGCCCGGUUUCUAGGCAACUAGAGGCUGGGGGCACAAACCAGGGGGUGGCGACUGUUUACUAAAAACACAGGGCUCUGCGAAGUCGCAAGACGACGUAUAGGGUCUGACGCCUGCCCGGUGCCUGAAGGUUAAAAGGAGGGGUGAGAGCUCUGAAUUGAAGCCCAGGUAAACGGCGGCCGUAACUAUAACGGUCCUAAGGUAGCGAAAUUCCUUGUCGGG
RNAcentral lists this ribosomal RNA (1895 nucleotides) under seawater metagenome. RNAcentral's name for it is "bacterial LSU rRNA". It matches the Rfam family "Bacterial large subunit ribosomal RNA", at positions 1 to 1976 of the family's 2925-position model. The record is from RNAcentral.